Urocitellus parryii (Arctic ground squirrel) is the source of this 295-nucleotide long non-coding RNA. RefSeq lists it as uncharacterized. NCBI's taxonomy places the organism in Eukaryota, Metazoa, Chordata, Mammalia, Rodentia, Sciuridae. The record is from RefSeq and is a predicted model, not a curated record.
CUUAAAGAGGCGGGUGGGCAGUGGAGAGAGCCCAUCUCCCUACCCAGCGCUCGGGGUCUGGAGCCGGAAGACCCCUUUGGACCUGUGAAUCCUGAGGUUUUAGAAGCUGACUAGUGACGGUGGAGGGAAUGUUUCUGAAACAAAUCUAAUUUUCCUUCAUGACCAGUUCUUUUCUUAAUGGACUUAGCACUGAGGGCUGAAAAGAAAAAGCUACCCUGGAAUGCGAUUUACUCGGAUGUGAGACAACUUUGGCAGUUAUUGACAUUAACAAGAUGCAAUUUUCAGUCAGUUUUUG